This 396-nucleotide ribosomal RNA is filed under the name Triticum aestivum (bread wheat). RNAcentral's name for it is "partial small subunit ribosomal RNA". The record is from RNAcentral. Lineage: Eukaryota; Viridiplantae; Streptophyta; Magnoliopsida; Poales; Poaceae.
AUGCCUGAUCUAGUGCCUUUGCUUAGGGACUUGUGGGUCCCAAGAGAUCAUGUGAUACCAGGAGAAAUGGUGCAACCAAUUAUUCAGGCAAACAAUUUUGAACUGAAGCCAGCUCUGAUUAACAUGGUACAACAGUCCAGAUUUUGUGGAACAACUUUAGAAGACCCACAUGAGCAUAUAAGGACUUUCUUGGAGUAUUGUAACACCCUCAAGCAAAAUGGAGUUUCACCGAGUGCUAUCAGAUUGUCACUAUUUCCAUUUUCCUUGAGAGAUGGAGCAAGAGUAUGGCUUCACUCAUUGCCUGAACAUCUAAAGAAUACUUGGGAGACUUUAUUGCAGACAUUCUUGAGAGAUACUUUCCACCAACAAAAGCUGCUGAAUACAUGGACAAGUUAA